GAUAUUGCGCAAUGGGCGAAAGCCUGACGCAGCGACGCCGCGUGGGUGAUGAAGGCCUUCGGGUCGCAAAGCCCUGUCGAGGGGGACGAAUCAGCCUGGUCCUAAUAUGAUCAGGCCCUGACGGUACCCCUAAAGGAAGCACCGGCUAACUCCGUGCCAGCAGCCGCGGUAAUACGGAGGGUGCAAGCGUUGUUCGGAAUUACUGGGCGUAAAGCGCGUGUAGGUGGUCAUUCUAGUCAGGCGUGAAAGCCUCGAGCUCAACUCGAGAAAUGCGCUUGAUACUGGAUGACUAGAGGACCGGAGAGGAUAGUGGAAUUCCCAGUGUAGUGGUGAAAUACGUAGAGAUUGGGAAGAACACCAGUGGCGAAGGCGGCUAUCUGGACGGUUUCUGACACUAAGACGUGAAAGCGUGGGGAGCAAAC
RNAcentral lists this ribosomal RNA (422 nucleotides) under uncultured bacterium. Its description in RNAcentral is "bacterial SSU rRNA". It matches the Rfam family "Bacterial small subunit ribosomal RNA", at positions 359 to 773 of the family's 1533-position model. The record is from RNAcentral.